Molecule: ribosomal RNA, 442 nt
Filed under: uncultured bacterium
Lineage: Bacteria
Description: partial 16S ribosomal RNA
Rfam family: Bacterial small subunit ribosomal RNA
Source: RNAcentral
CCUACGGGAGGCAGCAGUGGGGAAUAUUGGGCAAUGGGCGCAAGCCUGACCCAGCAACGCCGCGUGAAGGAAGAAGGCUUUCGGGUUGUAAACCUCUUUCGUCAGGGAAGAGUAGAAGACGGUACCUGACGAAUAAGCCACGCCUAACGACGUGCCAGCAGCCGCGGGAAUACGUAGGUGGCAAGCGUUGUCCGGAUUUACUGGGUGUAAAGGGCGUGUAGCCGGGUUGACAAGUCAGAUGUGAAAUCCUGCGGCUUAACCGCAGAACUGCAUUGGAAACUGUUGAUCUUGAGUGGUGGAGAGGCAGACGGAAUUCCUAGUGUAGCGGUGAAAUGCGUAGAUAUUAGGAGGAACACCAGUGGCGAAGGCGGUCUGCUGGACAGCAACUGACGGUGAGGCGCGAAAGCGUGGGGAGCAAACAGGAUUAGAUACCCCUGUAGUC